Molecule: ribosomal RNA, 498 nt
Filed under: uncultured microorganism
Description: bacterial SSU rRNA
Rfam family: Bacterial small subunit ribosomal RNA
Source: RNAcentral
GAGUUUGAUCUUGGCUCAGGAUGAACGCCGGCGGUGUGCCUAAUACAUGCAAGUCGUACGCACUGGCCCAACUGAUUGAUGGUGCUUGCACCUGAUCGACGAUGGAUCACCAGUGAGUGGCGGACGGGUGAGUAACACGUAGGUAACCUGCCCUGUACAGGGGGAUAACAAUCAGAAAUGACUGCUAAUACCGCAUAAGACCACAGCACCGCAUGGUGCAGGGGUAAAAACUCCGGUGGUACAGGAUGGACCCGCGUCUGAUUAGCUGGUUGGUGAGGUAACGGCUCACCAAGGCGACGAUCAGUAGCCGGCUUGAGAGAGUGAACGGCCACAUUGGGACUGAGACACGGCCCAAACUCCUACGGGAGGCAGCAGUGGGGAAUAUUGCACAAUGGGGGAAACCCUGAUGCAGCAACGCCGCGUGAGUGAAGAAGUAUUUCGGUAUGUAAAGCUCUAUCAGCAGGGAAGAAAGUGACGGUACCUGACUAAGAAGCCCGG